Long non-coding RNA from Alexandromys fortis (reed vole), 4416 nucleotides. RefSeq lists it as uncharacterized. The record is from RefSeq and is a predicted model, not a curated record. The transcript is spliced from 3 exons. Lineage: Eukaryota; Metazoa; Chordata; Mammalia; Rodentia; Cricetidae.
GAGAGUCCAAAGUUCAAAAUACUGAAAUCUGCCCUGUGCUGAUAGUGGAGCUAUGUUGGGACCAAAUCCCACAGGUACCAGGCUUGAGUGCCCUUAAAAGUACCCAAGUGAAAACUUUUACUAAGCAUGAGACAUUGGGGCAAGAUGAUGUCACAGGAAGUGGAAAGGUUCCGGGGCCCAGUCUUCACCCAAUUUCUUCUCAGUCCUGUCUUUUUCCUUCCAGGCCUCCCUGGCCCUGGUCUCUCCACAGUGGUCUUGGUAAGCAUGGAAGGGAGGGCAGAGGUGAAAAAGCUACUGGGGCAACCCUCUUCAGCAGCCCUGAACCUUCUUUCUGGAGUUCUUCACAUUGUCCCCCCAAAUUCCCCAAAGCCUACCCACCCUUGGGGACACCAACAAGGAGAGAACAGCAGGCAGAUUAUUCUGGUUCCUAUGCCAUGAUUUUCAGCGUUGCUCUGGGCACUGCAUGCACAAGAAGUCCUGGAUAAGAACGGAAGUCAGGACAAAAAGACUGCAGGAUAGAACUCCAGUUCCAGCCAUCCUGGAGGGUGGAACAGCAAAGGCAGUGGAGGAAAGGAAGGCCAUGCCCUCUCGUGUGGGGAUCUUGACACACUGAAGACACCCAGGAACUUGGCAGAAGGGCCCCAAAGUGAGGGAGAAGGAUCAGGGCUCCUUGGGGUCUUGGGGGAACCGUUUCUGCUUUAGGCAGAAUUCCAUUUUACAUAUGUGUCAUUGUUUUCAUGUGUUUGUUUGUUGUAUGACUUGGUUUGAACAUGGAUUUUAUAAGCCAUGUGGGAAAAAAAAAUGAACAUUUGAGCUUUAACCCAGUGCUUCCAUGGACAGACCAGAGAAGUGAAAUCCAGAAAUGGAAUAAAUUUACCCAAACCUCCCUGUAAGUCAGGGCACAACUGAGACCUGGGGAGGAGCCAGGAGGUGAAGAGCUCGGGGGAGCCCUAUCUGUCAAGGGGCAGAGAGAGUCCUCUGGCUUUUAUUGGUUAAUGAAUAAAGAACUGCUUUGAUCCUCUGGCAGGGAAGAACAGAACUAGGAGAAAGCUAGGCUGUAUGCUGGGAGAAAGAAGGGUGGAAUGAGAAAGAAGCCAUGGAGCUACCGGAGACAGAUGCUGGGAACUUAACCCAGUAAGCCACUGCCACGUGGUGAUAUAUAGAUUAAUAAAAAUGGGUUCAAUUAAUAUAAGAGUUAGCCAAUAAGAAGCUAGAGCUAAUGGGCCAAGCAGUGAUUUAAUUAAUACAGUUUCUGUGUGACUAUUUCAGGGCUAAGCUAGCUGGGCAGCCAGGAAGCAACAAGCCAUCUUUCUCCAACAGUCCUCAGCUUCCAGCUCUCUCCAUCUCACCAGGAAGUGGGACAGGAUGCAGACACAUCCUGUGGGAGCCAGGGACCCAUGCCGAAAGCACAAGAAAGGCCUUACACAAAUGUAUAGCAGUUGGCCGUCAGGAAAGAUUUUCCCACAGACAGCAUCUCUGAACUGCUCACUACACACCUAGGAGGUAGCAAAACUGGAGCUCUUAGCUCCAAAUCACAGACAAGUCAAGCUUAGCAAGGCUCAAAUGAAGCCAUGUGCAUGGCUGAGACUGGAACUGGUAUCUUAGGUUCAGCAAGGUUGGGAUGAGAUCUCCCUGAAGGAGAACCUCGGCAGCCUACUUCAUUUACUCGGCUGUACUGCCUGAAACCCACUGUGAAGGGGGCGGGGGGCGGGGUACCACCUGCUCAGAGUCUGCCAGAGCUCACGGUUGUGUGUUCCAGGUGCCACAGACUAGGCAGGGCGCUUCCUGAGCAGGCACUGGCUGGACAAUUUCCAGAGAAAGCAAGUUGAGCCUGGGCCUGAGGAGGGGCAGAAUGGUCUGUGUUUGUGGGGAAAGACAGGUGGCAUGGGAAGGACCUUUGUGGGUAGACAAAACAAACAGCUUGGAGGUGCAAAGUGUUUGCUGUAUCUUGGGGAAGAUGAGGGGCUUGAUGAGGUCUGGGCAGCAUAGUGACAGUGACCAAACCUCCAGGGUGGGGCACCAAUAGUGCCAGAGGUCUCAGCUCCACCUUUAGCAUGGGCAAGCGCAAAAGUUCCCCCACAUUCCCUGACUCCAAUUCUCUUAUCCUGUAGGAGAAAUAGCAGCCCUGUCUCUCUUGUUAAAAUGAAAGUACAUCUCAGAAUGUAAAAUAAUCAACCAAUCAUAACCUACUUUGUUGGUAUUUGAAAGCUCUCAAGGAUUUUGAACAGGGGACCGAAGGACCUGGAAGCUGCUACUUUGUUUCUUACCGUUCUGAGGAUUGAAGCAGGGCCUGUGAUUGUCACUGUACUACUGAACUUCGGCCUAACCCAAUCUAACUUAGAGAGAAAAUCCAAAGGGGCCUGGAGGAAGGAGGUGGAGGCUGGACAUGUGUCAGCAGCCUUAGUCAAAGACAGUGUGAAACUGAACAGGAGAGGAGCCGUGGGAACAGAGAAGAUAAACAGAUGUUGCAUGAAAGGCCUCCUGGGCUCAGUGGUUGCCCAAGCACAGCAUCCAGGGAAGGCAAAAAGGUAAAGAUGGUCCAGGGGAAACACUGAUGGCGGAUGAAAAAGACACUGGCAAUGCAAACACGGGGGAGGUCAGGUGAGAGGUGACCCUACAGGGUUCCUGUGGGAUUCUGGAAAGACCAAGAGUAUGAACAGGAAUCUGGUCAUCUCUGUCCAACUGGGAAUAGAGACUUUGGGGAACAAGAUUCCCCCUGGGAGUGGGGGGUGGGGUGGGGAGGAGGGUAAGGCUGCUGAAGGAAUGGUGUGAGGAAGCUGGGCUGUGGCUCCUAGAACCCGGAGGGAAAGCUGCCAGAGGGGAGUGGAGGCAUUUCGGGAAGAGAGAUAUUGAGCAGCCUGAGAAGGAAGCAGUCAUACUUGGGUGACAGGAAGGGAAUGGAGACCCGGAAGACUCCUCAUGGGUGUGUGAGGGCCUCUGAGGGGUUAAAGCUGCUGCAGUUAGUUCACGGUGGAAGUCGUGGGUGCAGACUAGUCUUUGAAAGAGCUUGGCAGGGAAAAGAACAAAAGAUGGAUGGUUAGCUGCAGGAGAAGGAGGUCAAAAAGAGGUUGGUUUUAGCAGCGGGGAGAUCUGAGCAUGCUCCCAGCUUCAGUGAAGACGGCAUAACGAGAUGAAUCAGAGGAAGAGAUGCUGGGCACAGGCCAAACUCUCCACACAGCCUCUGCGUGCCCAUGGGGACAGAAGCAGAUCCACCGCUGACCAGACUCGGCACUCUGCCCGCAGACCUGGAAACCCCUGCUUCCUCCCAUCCCCAAGGCUGCGGGUCCUUUGUUGAGGAUUUCAGGGAUGCUCCCAGGCCUUUGCAGGGAUCUAUCUCUGUUGAUGCACAGCCUUUCACAUCAAUAAUGACUUGUCCUUGCCCUGCACCAGCUCCACCCUCUGGUGGCCAUAGCCCAGUCCACACCCCAACCCAGCUCAGCAGACACCCAUCAUGAACCUCUUGGCUUCCCUGACCCUAUCUGUAGCUAAAGAGGCCCCCCUGGAUGAUCUAAUUGCCACUCUUUGCCUUCCAAAGGACACAGACUGGAUCCGCCCCUCGACAGACUUGGCAGAACUUAUGCCACCCUGGGCAGCCCACUUUGCCCUGAGUAGCAUCCUUCCUGGACUCCUCAACAUGACCUCUAAGAAGACAAGGGAAAGUGACCGUCUGCUUCCCCUCCCCUUCACUGGGCAGAAGUGGAAAGCAAGGCAGGAGGAGAUCAUGUUAGAGCUUAGGCCGGCUGGCUUCCAAAUUCUCUUUGCCGCCCCCAUUCCUCGCCAGCCAGCCAUCGCUGCCCUUCAAUGAAGAGAAGCAGCCCUGGCACAUUCUGUGUGCUUCAUCAUGGAGAACCAGCCCUCGAGAUGUGCCAGGAGGAAGGCAAGAUGGAUUUUCACAGCAGUGUUACUCGGAAUAGCUUAAGAGCAGAAACAAGCCAAAUGCUCACCAACUAGAGUUACCAGAAUACAUUCAGGACACCCAGUUAAAAAAAUGUUAGCAGCUUUAUUGAGAAACAGUCUAAGUAUCACAAAGUUCACCCAUCUAAAGUGUGCGGGCAGUGGUUCUGAGACGAGAUUUACAGACUUGUGUAAUCACCACCACCAUCUCAUUUUAGAACACUUUCAUCAUCUCCCUCCAAAAAUCCCUGUGCCCAUUAGCAACUAUGCUCCCUCCCUCCCUAGCCCCAGACCACACAAAUCUCUGGUGGGAAAGGCUGAGACAGAGUCUCACUAUGUAACCCAGGCUAGCCUCAAAUUUGUAAUCCUCCUGCUUCGGCUUUCAUGACUUGCUAGGAUUAAAGGUCUGAACACCAUGCUCGUGACAAACUGCUCCUUCCAUGGAUUUGCCUGCUCCAGAUACUUGCCUGUGGUCUUUUGUGACUAGCUUCCUGAUACUCAAAUACCUUAUACUCAACAACU